AGAGUGAACGCUGGCGGUAGGCCUAACACAUGCAAGUCGAACGGCAGCACGGUAAGAGCUUGCUCUUAUGGGUGGCGAGUGGCGGACGGGUGAGGAAUACAUCGGAAUCUACCUUUUGGUGGGGGAUAACGUAGGGAAACUUACGCUAAUACCGCAUACGCCCUUCGGGGGAAAGCCGGGGACCAGCAAUGGCCUGGUGCUGAUAGAUGAGCCGAUGUCGGAUUAGCUAGUUGGUGAGGUAAUGGCUCACCAAGGCGACGAUCCGUAGCUGGUCUGAGAGGAUGAUCAGCCACACUGGAACUGAGACACGGUCCAGACUCCUACGGGAGGCAGCAGGUGGGAAUAGUUGGACAAUGGGCGCAAGCCUGAUCCAGCCAUACCGCGUAGGUGAAGAGGCCUUGGGUUGUAAACGUCCCUUUUGUUGGAAAAGAAAAGCUAUUACGGUUAAUACCCGGUGUU
Molecule: ribosomal RNA, 459 nt
Filed under: uncultured soil bacterium
Lineage: Bacteria
Description: bacterial SSU rRNA
Rfam family: Bacterial small subunit ribosomal RNA
Source: RNAcentral